This is a non-coding RNA of Ceratotherium simum simum (southern white rhinoceros), 107 nucleotides long. The record is from RefSeq and is a predicted model, not a curated record. Lineage: Eukaryota; Metazoa; Chordata; Mammalia; Perissodactyla; Rhinocerotidae.
GUCUUAGGGAAGUAAAUGGAGAUGGGAAGAUGAGCAUGUUCAGUCCACCUUGCCUCAGCAACCCAAUGUAUAAAGGUCUUGUCUUGUGUUUUCUUGAAAAAGCAUUU